UUCUGGCAAUUCCGGUGUUAUGAUUACCUCAGAACCUUUAAUGGGAGGUUCAAACUACCUAGCUUGGGCUUCGUCUGUUGAGUUGUGGUGUAAAGGUCAAGGAGUUUACGAUCAUUUAACAAAAAGGGCUAUCGAAGGUGAUGAGAAGGGCAAAACACUGUGGGAAAAGGUCGGUGCUCAGUUAUGUAGUAUCUUCUGGCGAUCUAUUGAUUCCAAGUUGACGCCUUUGUUCCGUCCAUUCCAGACAUGUUAUUUAGUUUGGGAAAAGGCUCGUAAUUUAUACACUAAUGACAUAUCUCGUUUCUAUGAUGUAAUAUCGCGAAUGA
This 326-nucleotide long non-coding RNA is filed under the name Nicotiana benthamiana. RNAcentral describes it as "long non-coding RNA (NBEN_LNC014563)". The record is from RNAcentral. Lineage: Eukaryota; Viridiplantae; Streptophyta; Magnoliopsida; Solanales; Solanaceae.